Molecule: long non-coding RNA, 622 nt
Organism: Humulus lupulus (European hop)
Lineage: Eukaryota; Viridiplantae; Streptophyta; Magnoliopsida; Rosales; Cannabaceae
Exons: 2
Source: RefSeq, a predicted model, not a curated record
AUAUUUUAAAAUUUUAAUUACUUAAAAUUUAUCAAUUUUUUGAAACAAGAUUUUCUUGCUUUUAAAUUUUUUUUAAAACUUAUUUCCAUUUUUUCUUCCUCUUCUUCUUCCUAUUUCUUCGUCCCGUAGCCACACAGAGCCAAGACCUUUACCUCAAGCAUUAAUGGCUUCUGAGUUCCCUCCAAACUUUGUUCGGGUCACUUUCUCCUUUUCCUUUAUUUCUCCGAUCUCUUUCAUCAUCUCUCCCUAAUAUGAUUUUUUUUUCUUUCAAUCUCUUUUCUCAUCAUGGAUUCUCUCAAAAUGUUGGAUAUGCAUUAUAAAAUGUUAUUGGAUCUAUGAAGGAAUGAAGUAAGCAUUGAGGUUAUGAGGUUGAAUCUUUUCUACUGCUAAGGUAAGGGCAAAGAUUGAGUCGACCAGCCAUGAGUACAGAGAGCAUGAAGCGACGCGUACAUGUUUGGCCUGCCCGACUGCUUUGGUUGGGGGUAUUUUCGAGAAAUGGCUGUAAUAACCUAUGAUUUUAAUACGGAUCAACUGUAAACUUAUUUUAAGUUGUAAAUAGUUUUCAAACCUUAUUUUGGGAUCCCAAAUGUUAAAUACUAGAAGUUUUCAAUGAAACCACGCA